Molecule: ribosomal RNA, 139 nt
Filed under: uncultured eukaryote
Lineage: Eukaryota
Description: partial 18S ribosomal RNA
Rfam family: Eukaryotic small subunit ribosomal RNA
Source: RNAcentral
UGGUGGAGUGAUUUGUCUGCUUAAUUGCGAUAACGAACGAGACCUUAACCUGCUAAAUAGUUAGGCUAGCCUCUGGCUGGUCGUCAACUUCUUAGAGGGACUAUCAGCAUUAAGCUGAUGGAAGUUUGAGGCAAUAACA